RNA transcript from Capsicum annuum, 2019 nucleotides. It is a transcript of the gene named E3 ubiquitin-protein ligase ORTHRUS 2, with no coding region annotated. NCBI's taxonomy places the organism in Eukaryota, Viridiplantae, Streptophyta, Magnoliopsida, Solanales, Solanaceae. The transcript has 5 exons. The record is from RefSeq and is a predicted model, not a curated record.
GACCCGAAGCCGAAAAAAACAAAACCAACAGGAAUAUUUGCAUAAAUUCAGUUAUUUGCUUGAUUAAAAAUGAAACUGCAUUUUAAAAUACAUGGGCCCCACUAUAGAUAUGGAUCCAAUUGACGGGUCGGAUCAUGUAACAACGUCUCUUAUACUUGGAAGUAGCGACUAAAUUCCUUCCUUGCUUCAACGAUGUAUUACAGUACGAUUUUUGGAUCUUGUAUUCAGUGAAUGAAGAGUUAUGAACGAUUUGAAGGUCACGAAUUCAAGUGGCGGAAAUAAAAUAUCAGCUUUCCGGAAGUCUUGGUCAGGUGAUUGCUACAGGUUCUGAGUAAUGACUUGGCCUUUGUUCAGGCAUGUCAUCAAUCACUUGCAAACCAAAUGGAAAACAUCUGUAGGGGCAAACUUUUGGACCUUCAGAUAACAGCAAAAGUAUAUUGAAUUUCUGUGUGAUGACUCAGUCACCCAGUGAAAAUAUGUGCUUGAAGCGGUGACAUCUGGUGGUUAAUUUCUGAUGGCUCAACAAUCGGUGCUUCUCAAGAAGCAAUUCACAAUACCAUGAUUGAACCAGAGGCUUCAUAGAUUCUUGGUCCAUGGAGCAUUCAUCACAGGAAGACGUGUUGCAGUGUGUCUCAUUGCAUACUGCCUUUUCUGGACUGGUAUUGAGUGAAUUGCUCAUGAUAUCGUAUCAAUUUUUUCCAAGAGGUAUAGUUAUCAUUUGAGAGAAACGCAAAUACUUGGGGUUAUUAGAUUUCCAUCUUCAAAUGAAGUUUCACAGAACCAAAGGAACUUUAGGAGCACUUCUCCAGAGUAAAGCACAACUUCUGAAUUAGAUUUCUCUUAGGCCUUAGCUGUGCUUCUGCAAGAUUCUCCUGGUCUUUUAACGGAGUAUGUUGAGCAGAAAGGCAUUGACUCAGUUACCAGAUUUUUCUAGUGAAAGUUUCUGUAUGUAUCCAUUUUUGAUUUUUGCCUGUGCACACUGUACUACACCUGAAGUUGAAGCAUUUUGGUUGAUGAUUUGUGUCAUUUUCCUCACCUUUGGCCUCCUUUAGCUCAAAUCCUCAUUCCAUCAUUGUUUCAUGUGCAUCUGGCAAUAAAAAAGUACUAGUGAGUUGUGUUGAAACAACGAAUACUAUUUUUUGUCACAUUAUAAUAACUUAUUACCCGGAUUGAAGGGUACAACCAUGGAUUAUCACUCAGGCUAGAUUCUUGUGUUGGUAUCGGUGUUCUAAGAUAAACGUUUGAUCUUAAUUUUGAUGUCAAGCUGUCUCAUCUAAUGGAGAAUCCAGUCAGAUGUGUUCCUUGCAGGAUAAAUACUCAAAAACAGAUAAAGAAAACAAAUGAAUCAGUAAUUAAGAGGCUCGUAAACGAGAAAGGGAAGAGAUUUUUCCCCAUGGUGCAUAUCUAAUAAUUGCAAUAUGAAGAAAGGAGCAAAGAGAAAGGAGGAAACCCGAUAAUAUGUAUCUCACUUUUCUACAGGUUGUGAGAAUUCUUGGUCACAUGAUUGUUACAGUUUCUGGAAUAAUGACUUUCGCGUUUGCUCAAGCAUGUCAUCAGGCACUUGUAACUUGCAAGUAAGGGUUUGUGGACAUUUUACCAAGUCCAACUUAAGCAAUAACCAAUAUGGUGCUGCUUAUCAAACACACCAGCAUUUUGAGGCGUUUUGCCUGCAGGAACAAGCUUUUGGACCUUCCACAAAGUAUAUAGAAUUUCUGUAUGAUGGACCCAGUUAUGGGUGAUUCUAUGUGCUUCGAGCGAUAACAUCUUUCUUGCUUGCCUUCAAAUGUUUGAUUUAUUGUGUAAAUGUCUUUGGUUAAAGGGCAGAUGGAUCAACAGUCGAUGCUUCUCAAGAAGCAAUUCACUAUAUCACUGAUCAAGCAAUACUAGGCUCACUGUGUAUUCAGCACGGGAGGACAUGUUGUAGAUGUGUUUCUUUGCCUCCUGUUAUUAGAUUGGUAUCGUAUUGGAGUGCAUUGCACAUGAAUUCGUCUCUUUGAAAGUAUAAGAUUUCAGCUCUUA